RNAcentral lists this long non-coding RNA (168 nucleotides) under Fukomys damarensis (Damara mole-rat). RNAcentral describes it as "lncRNA (ENSFDAG00000023203.1)". The record is from RNAcentral. Lineage: Eukaryota; Metazoa; Chordata; Mammalia; Rodentia; Bathyergidae.
ACCUUAGCUACUUCAGCUAAACUGUGACCGUGAAUGACGUUAUGGAAGUUGACAGCUUUUUCAGAAGGAUACUAACCUAAUCAUCCUGGGAAUAUCAACUACAAAUCAAGAAAUGCUGUGAAGUCAGCUCCGUCAUGUGGACCAACCUGUUGUGCACUUCCUGACCCA